UGCCAGCCGCCGCGGUAAUACGUAGGAUUCGAGCGUUAUCCGGAUUUAUUGGGUUUAAAGGGUGCGCAGGCGGAAUAUUAAGUUAGUCGUUAAAUAGUUGAGCUCAACUCGACACAUGCGAUUGAUACUGGUAUUCUAGAGAUUAUCUGCAGUAGGCGGAAUAAGUAGUGUAGCGGUGAAAUGCUUAGAUAUUACUUAGAACCCCGAUUGCGAAGGCGGCUCACUGGCUCGAUACUGACGCUGAGGUACGAAAGUGUGGGGAGCAAACAGGAUUAGAUA
This 279-nucleotide ribosomal RNA is filed under the name uncultured bacterium. RNAcentral's name for it is "partial 16S ribosomal RNA". It matches the Rfam family "Bacterial small subunit ribosomal RNA", at positions 506 to 784 of the family's 1533-position model. The record is from RNAcentral.